This 376-nucleotide ribosomal RNA is filed under the name Neogoniolithon fosliei. Its description in RNAcentral is "bacterial LSU rRNA". It matches the Rfam family "Bacterial large subunit ribosomal RNA", at positions 2094 to 2465 of the family's 2925-position model. The record is from RNAcentral. Lineage: Eukaryota; Rhodophyta; Florideophyceae; Corallinales; Spongitidaceae.
UAUGAAGCUUUACUGUAGCUUGAUAUUGAACUCAGGCUUAUCCUGCGCAGUAUAGGUGGGAGGCAAAGAAAAUAAGUUUGAGGACUUAUUGGAGCCAAAAAUGAGAUACCACUCUUGAUAAGUUAGAUUUCUAAUUUUGAAUGCCAUAAACUGGCCAAAAAACAUUGUCAGGUAGGCAGUUUGACUGGGGCGGUCGCCUCCUAAAAGGUAACGGAGGCGUGCAAAGGUUUCUUCAAACUGGUCGGAAAUCAGUUGUAGAGUAUAAAGGCAUAAAGAAGCUUGACUGCGAGACUCACAAGUCGAGCAGAGACGAAAGUCGGCCUUAGUGAUCCGACAGUGCUGAGUGGAAAGGCUGUCGCUCAACGGAUAAAAGUUA